GACGAACGCUGGCGGCGUGCCUAAUACAUGCAAGUCGAGCGAGCUGAAUUCAAAGAUUCCUUCGGGAUGAUUUGUUGGACGCUAGCGGCGGAUGGGUGAGUAACACGUGGGCAAUCUGCCCUAAAGACUGGGAUACCACUUGGAAACAGGUGCUAAUACCGGAUAACAACAUGAAUCGCAUGAUUCAAGUUUGAAAGGCGGCGUAAGCUGUCACUUUAGGAUGAGCCCGCGGCGCAUUAGCUAGUUGGUGGGGUAAAGGCCUACCAAGGCAAUGAUGCGUAGCCGAGUUGAGAGACUGAUCGGCCACAUUGGGACUGAGACACGGCCCAAACUCCUACGGGAGGCAGCAGUAGGGAAUCUUCCACAAUGGACGCAAGUCUGAUGGAGCAACGCCGCGUGAGUGAAGAAGGUUUUCGGAUCGUAAAGCUCUGUUGUUGGUGAAGAAGGAUAGAGGCAGUAACUGGUCUUUAUUUGACGGUAAUCAACCA
This 488-nucleotide ribosomal RNA is filed under the name uncultured bacterium. RNAcentral's name for it is "bacterial SSU rRNA". It matches the Rfam family "Bacterial small subunit ribosomal RNA", at positions 28 to 485 of the family's 1533-position model. The record is from RNAcentral.